AGCAGUGGGGACACAGGAGAACUUUUUGCCAGCCCUGGGUCAGCCUGUUCCAUGGCUGCCCCCGGGCUGAGCUAAGGGAAGGAUGGAAGAAGAGCCCUGUGCAAAGUUAACACACCAGACGCGGGCAGCCCGUGGAGCUGUGCAGGCAUGAGUUGUCAGUUGGUCCUGUUUUGACUGUGAAGACGCAAUGUUACGAAAAAAUGAGAGAAGAAUUGUCAAAAUAAUAGCAGAAUUCCUUCAAGCUUGAAAGUGAGUGCUCUAAGCUUGAGACCCAUUCUGGAGAAAUUUCCUCUAUGCGGUAUAAUUAAUUGUGCUUUUUUAAUUGAGUUUGUACUUAAGGUUUUUUUUUUUGUUAUGCUAAUGACAGACAUGCUACAGCAUUAUUCCUGUCUUGUUUUGUCAUAGGAGGAUUUCCUUCUGAAAUCACUCAUGAGUUAGUAAUGAGUUGUCACAGAAGAAAAACUCCAGUACGCAGUUCUGAUAACUUAUACAAGAAGUCUGAAAACAGACUCAUGAGAAUCGUAAGAGAUGCAGAGUCAUGGAAAAUCUAAACAAGAAUCUUGCGUCGCAGACUGACAUGCUCAGGCAUGAACUCCAGGCCAAGGUAAAGACGUCGCGAAGAGAGUUUAGCAGCUGAGAACCUGCUUUUGUGCUGCACACUCAGUGAUAUCAAAUUGCCUUCUGGCCCCUUCAGUUGUCUACUUAAACACAAAUUAAUUAGAAAAUUAAUUAUCAGACCUUUGUUUUAGAUCUGCACAGGAAAUUGUGUAUCUGUUGCCAAUUAAUAACAUCUAUGAUAAGGUAUUACAUGCUGUGAAAGUUUAAUAGAUCUAACUGCAUUUGCAGCUCUAGUACAGAGACUUUCUGGUUAAGAGCUUAAUGGUGGUCAGGACCUUACUAUUUGAGUCACUUGCUAAAAUACUGUGACAUGUGCCUGGAGAAGGUCAUUUGAUCAUUGCAAUGGUUGCUUCUGGCCUUAGAAGUCUGGUCAUUUAUAAGCAAUUAAG
RNAcentral lists this long non-coding RNA (1007 nucleotides) under Calidris pygmaea (Spoon-billed sandpiper). RNAcentral's name for it is "lncRNA (ENSCPGG00000009674.1)". Lineage: Eukaryota; Metazoa; Chordata; Aves; Charadriiformes; Scolopacidae. The record is from RNAcentral.